UGAAACAAAAGAUGCAAGCGUGUGUGUCGGAGGGGUGCAAGUGUGGUGUCCUAGUGCUACUGCUAACUCUUUCUUUCUCUUUUUUUUUAACGAAGCUACUGCUAGCUAGCUCCCGCAUGCUGCAAAGAGCAAUGGCAAAGCUAAUCUCCUGCCUAAGCCUCCAGACCAGCCCAACGAAGUAGUACUAGUACUCCUCCUCCCUCUCGGUUCUCUCUCUCCCUUAUCUCCCUCUCGGCCUCUCCUUUUCUCUUUCUCUCCCGAGCAAGCACGAACAGCACCACGCCGCCGCCUUGAUCUCCUUGCUCCGACCAUGUCCGGCCAAGCUGAGACCAGCUCUAGACUCCUCUCUCACUCCUCCUAUUUUAGAUCCCGAAAUUCAUUUCUACAAAACUCCACCAACCUAUCCCGAGAUUGCAACCCUAGCUUUUGGGCUGCCAUGGCCGCGGCCGUCUCCCUCGGGUCCGGUGCAGCCAACUUCAUCGUCUUCGACGACCACGACGCUUCUCCCUACGAUUUCUCUAGCAGCACGCACCACUACAACGACGAGGACUGCCAUGGCUUCUCGGCACGGCUCAGGUGCCGCGGCCGUCGCUGACGACAGCUAGGCUGGGGUCACGCCUACUCCUUCCCAGCUUGCCGGUGUUGGGACCAGCAGUCCGGCGCGUGGCCUGCUGCUAAGUAUCCUAAGAAAAGCUAAGUCCAUAUCUCUCUCAUUGACAGCAAGUUUUAGUGUAUUAGGGAAACAAGUUGUAGUGUUGAUUCUGAUGCAUAGAUGUCUGAUUUGGGUGAGCAAAGAAGAUGGUGAUUACUGGUAGGUAGAUGUGUUCUACUCCCUAUUAGCAAAAUGACAAUGCUAUUCACAGUAUACAUGGGUUCUGGAUUAGCUUUGUUAAAGUACUAACUAAACAUGGAUUUUAUUCUACUAUAAUCGUACAAGCAAAACAAUCAGGAGCAUGUGAGGCAAUCAAGAAUAACAUUUUGUUUUCCCUUUCAACACACAGAUCACCACACAAUAGCAAGCAGCGGGAAGGAUUGCCAGCAGGUGGAGUGGAGGUGGCUCGAUGAGGCAUUGGUGAAAAUGCAACAGUAAAAAAAAGUAGUUGCUAUUUAUAGUGUGUAGAAUACUAUGCAAGUUGAGGACAAGUGUUGGACAAGUUGGUUGCAUGGCUCACACGUGUUUCUCAGCUUGCUGGAAGGAAGAGCAGCAUGACACAAAUGGCAUUCAUGCAGCUGGGCCCACUAGGGGUUUCUUAGGUGCUAAGAAACUGUUUAAGGGCUGAAAUGUAAACCUAAAGGGCUUGUUUGUAAUUUUUGAAUUAUUAAUUUGUAAUAGAGGAUUUUGUAUUAAUUUUGUGAAAUAAGAUGAUUAGACCAUAUAAUUUUGGUCCUUGAAACCUGUGGUUUCACAGAAGCCUUAUUUUAUUUUGGUUUUCUCUACUGUCCCUCGUCAGGUUCUUUGAUGGAAUAGGUUUCUUUUGGUCGGUUAUACUUUUAGUUUCUCUUAAUUAAUGGAUCGAGCCGGAUCUUUUGCCUUCGUUUCAAAAAACAACUCGGUUAAUGCAUGUACUAACAUCUUAGGCAUGCGUUUCAGUCCACAUAUAUAAAUCUCAGAAACUUGAACCAUACGUCAACCUCAUUGCAUCACCGUCCCCCUCUUGCCAUUGAUGUUACUGCUAGAGGCCUGUAUUUAACUAAAGUAACUAAGCCUUUAACAUCAAAUUAAUGGGUGCAAUUGACUUGAGUGACGAUCACAGUUUUUCUCCCAAAAUUCCACCAGCGUUACCUCAGCAGUCAGCAUCGAUCGAAACCACACCAGAAAACAGCAAAAAGAAAAAAACGCAUGGAAAGAGUUUGUUCCAAAAAUGAGAAAAUCAAAUCAAACGAAAUGACAGUCCAAACUCCUCAACAACUUCACAUUCCUGCGUGAAACGAUCACGUAUUGUGUGUACUGUGUAUCCAACGACGGUCCAUGCAUGCGCGAGUCCACGCACGGAUGGCCCUGAUCUGCUCUGCUCUACCUAACCCGGUACGUGGCGCGCUAGCUCCCUGGCAGCGGCGGGCCGCUGCGGCUGCUGCUGCUGCUGCUGCAUGCGCAGCUGGCCGUGGAACCACACGAUGAACUCGUCGGCGCGCCGGUCUACCAAACCCGCCUCAUCGUCUUCUUCCUCCCGCGCAGCCGGGAACGGCGAGUCCGUGAUCCGCACCUGCCUUGGCGCCCCGGCGCCGCUGAUCUCAACAACAUCGCCUUCUUCUUCUUCGUCGCCGUCCAUGAGAUCGUACAGCCUCGUCACCGCUGCCGCCGACCCAUGCUCCGGGUCCUCGUCUUGCUGCAGGAGCCGGCGCCGCGACCGGCGGCGCCUGCGGCGGCGCCUGCUGUGGAGCGGCGUGCUGCUGCAGCUGAACUCCACCUCGCGGGGCCGGUACUCGUACUUGCUGUACACCGCGGCGCCGGGGUCCAUGGACCGGCACGACAGCGACGAAGCUGCUCCGCCGGUGAUGCGACCGCCGCCGCUGCGCGGGUACGGGUGCACGUGCACCGCGUCCACGGACCGGCAGGACAGCGCCGGCGCCGCGAAGCUGCAGUGGCGCAUGGAGGAGGACAUAGGCGAGAGCAGGUGGUGCAGGUGGACGCCGAGCGCGGCGAGCUUGGGCUGGUGCUUCCCCAGGCCCCUGGCAAGGACCAGGUGCACGGCCCGCGCCAUGCGCCACAGCUUCUUCCCGCUCAAUAACGCCGCCGGCGCCGCUGGGCCGUCCUCGCGACGGCCCACAUCGAUAUCGCCGUCCCCGUCGUGUUGCUCUUCCAUGGCCGCCCACUCCUGGUCACUGCCCAUCUCGAAUCCCCGAUUCAUCGAACUAGCUACCUUGUCUCCUUUCUCGAUUUGGAAAAUCCUCCAAGUCCUCCGGGCUCUGCCCUGCCAGAGGUAGCUAGCUUCUGAGUAUCUCAGGAAAAUGGCAAAUCUUUGUCAAUGACGGGAUUGGAAUAUGAAAUUAAGGACAGAUGUGCCGUGGUAUUUAAAGGGACAUGCGUUAGCGUACGGCGUGUGUUGUGGCUAGAUCACUGGACAAUUAAACGCCGCAAGGAGAAUUAUUGGGCCGGGGUGCGACGGCACGAUAGUCUUCAAAUUGUUCUUUUUGUGCUCAGACGCUUUGCUUCCGCACACGUACGACGUGGUCGACCGGCGUUUGUCCUUCCUUCCAUGCGAGAGGUUUUCGCUGGCGCUAGGCUAUAGGCCUGCUGCGACCCUUGCGUGUCAUGCCAUGCAUAUCUGGCUAAUCGAUCUGCGGAGGUCGGAUUAGUAGCUUUUAAACCCGCUUUUUUUGGUGAGCUCGAUCGGGUAUGCUAACUAAGUGUUUCCACGUUCGCUCUGAGUGGGGGCUGGAAAUCCCACGUUUAGCUUGCUUAUGUUUUAGAUAUCGACGACGUGGUAUAGCAUAGAGUGACACUUUGACUAUCAGUGUUUAAAGCUAACAUAACAUCCAUACUGAAAUAUUAAGGAAAGUGUAUUUCAUGACAGGCAUAGUAGCCUGAAUGUAGUGUCGUUGUACGUACUGGAUCAUGUUUGUAUCUUUUCUGUACUGGUAGUCGAUGGUCCACAAACCCAAUUGUUUUAUUUAUCAUUAUUAGUCACAUGUGUUCCAAAAUGAUAAAUAUUUAGAAACGGGAGAAGUACAGGUUAAGACAAUUAGGCGCUUUUCGUGUGUUCGUUAGAGCGUAGGUCGACAUGAAUAAAUGGCUAGAUCGAAACCGCAAUCAUGCACUGUAGACAAAUGGCCAUGCUUGGGACCAUCAAUAUAUCAGCUUGUGAUUGAGAAAACGGCACAUGAAGUUUCCACUAACUAGUGUCAUUAGUGUCCAUACAGCAGGGGUCAUCAUGAUGAAAUCGAUGUUGUAUUCAAGUGUACUCCAGAAGAGAAAACGAAGAGCCACCGAGACGAUUGGAUUCUAACAUUGAAGGCAGAUCUGCAAAGUAUGAUCAGUCGGGGAUGUCUAAUACGAAGUUAGGAACUCCAUACGCACCGGCCCCCCUUCGGGAUAUCAUGGUGGUGCAAAACAUUAAAAAAAAACAUGAACAUCACGUGUGCACUUAAUUUAUGGAGAAAAUAAAAUAUUACCUCCGUUUCAUAAUUCUUGUCGAAAUAUUAGAUGUAUCUAGACACUUUUUAGGGAUAGAUACAUCCUUUUUUGGUCAAAUUUGAGACAUGAAUUAUGGAACGGAGGGAGUAAGUGUUAUAUACUGAAUAUUUUUAUCUCCUUUUCUCACAGUAAACAAAUGUACAAAAUGUAUUGUCCCUCACGAAAAUCUAACAUGACCUCUAGCUAGCUAGCUAGCUAGUUUCUGUUUGUCACCCAGGAAUUUCACACUGAACAAUCCAGUUCCCAGAAAAAGGAUCAUAUUACCAUGAAUGCAUGAUGGCAGAAAAACAGAAAAUAUGUUGUGCUUUUGCAAGCCAGACAUUAGUAAAAAAAUAUAUUCUUGAAAGGAACAUGACAGUAGUAGCAGUAUACCGGCCAGUUGUUCUAGAUGAAAAAGGUAUAAUUACACGGUGCCUCUCUCCCUUCCAUGAAUUAUUAUGAAAUAAAAAAGUGGGAUUUCGAUGUCACCAGCUGGGACUAGGCAUGCCGUCGUCACUGUUCAUUAAUUGGAAUGUUUUAUGCACUACAGUUUUAUAACAGGGAGGAGUCCAUAAGCAGCAGCCGCCGUUGAUCGAUAUCACUGUCCAGGUUUAAUGGCGCCCCCUACCCAAUUAUACACAGCCCAUGUCCACCUCAAACAAACAGCUAAUGCCCAACAUCACCUGCUAAGAAUUCCCCAUGGUGUUUAGCGUGUAUAUUGUACAGUACGCGCGUACGUACUCAAGCAGGCCCACACACGUGUUUAAGAUAUUUUUGAGUCGUCGGCACCUGUUAAUAGUAGUCUGAAUUAACAUGCACCAUCUGCUCGCGAAAAGAUAUCCUAGGAAGGGCACUGUUAAUUUGCCCAUGGAAGUUGCGUGUGCCACGGCAAAGUGUGGUACGUAUACGUACGCGUGACAAGACAUUGAAGGAAAAAAAAACAAGAUACGAAGUACUACCUCUCACGUCCUAAAUUCUUGACUCAAAUUUAUCCAAAUAUGGAUGUUCUAUUUUUAAAAUGUGUUUAGAUACAUGUAUAUUUCGACAACAAUUUAGAAUCGAGAUUACUUAUUAAAAAAUACUGACUACUACUGUAACGGCUGAAGCUACGCAGGAGCUUAAUUAGCUGGAACUUUUCCGGGAAACCGAUGUGACAAAAUUAACACGGUACGUAGUCCGUGGUUGGCCUGGGCGUAAACGAAAGGAGGAGGGUGUGUGGUGACCGGUGAGAGAUGGAUCCUGGGGAUAACAUGGAGUCGACAUCUGGACCCUGGGCAAUGGAAAGGCGUCGGCGAAGGCGGGCAGAGGAGGCGAAAAGAAAGCCUUCGUUCGGAAAUCAAGGCCCCUGUGUAUAUGCCGCCGGAUCACAGACGUGGCGCGCAUCGUCUUCUACAGACCUGGAGACUGAAUACUCUCUCCCUUCCAAAACACAACUCAUAUAGAUUUUUCUCAUUUAUUUCCAAACACAUCUUAUUUUUUUCUUGGUACUCGCACCCGACCAAUAACUACUCACAUCUAUUUAUUAUUAAUUUAAUACGAGUAGUCAGGCACUAGAAACAAGAAUUGUUUUGAUCCAAAUGUACAAAUUUAUAUGAGUUGUGUUUUGGAACGGAGGGAGUACGCAAUUGACCAAGCCCAUCAGUUGAAGAAGUCGCUUAAAUAACAACCUCCCGUCGUAAUCAAAGCCCGGCCCAGUCCAGUCCAGCCCAGUUUAAUUGCUGAUUAGGACUUCGCUCUUUCGGAAAAAAAAAGAAUUUGCAAACUAAGUUUAAAUCUAGCAUUCUCGUGUCGAUUUCUUUAAAAGUUUCCCGACUGCACGAUCUUAUCUGAUUUUAUUUCACAUCUUAGGAAAAAAAUACUUAUGCCUUUUCGACUGUUCGUAUGCAUGCAUGAGCUGAUGAGCACGCAUACACAGCAAUACCAUGCACCUACAUAAAUCAUGUCUAAAUAUCAUCUGUAAUCUGAGAGGCAUGCAAGAAAGAUAUAAUCAAACACUACCGGCCAGCAGUCAACUUACUACGGAGUAGUACAUAGUACGGAGUAUAUAGUAAGGUGGUUUGGCAUGCAUGCGUUAGCGUGUGCUAUCAACAUAUAAUUAAGUUGGCGAGCCAGUGCAUAUAUACGAUAUAUAUGAUGCAUGCAUGCCCGUGUCAAUUUCUCGAUCAAUCACACAGGUUAGAUAUAUAAUGAAGCCGCCGCCUGCUUGCUCGACACGACCGAACGGUCUUCAAUUCGUCAGACGUACGGCAGCGCGCAACCGGCGGCGCCGGCGCCGGCGCGGCCUCCGCCGUUGCAGCACGCGGGUGGCUUAUUAACAACCAUCCCAGUUCCCCUGCCGGCGCCAGUGUUGCAGGCUCCGCGUCCGCGGUUCUGGGAGCUCUUGCGGGCGAUGUCGCGCAUGGAGCUGGCGAGGGAGAGCUUGGGGUUGAGCCGGACGGUGGAAUUGAACCGCUGGCAGAGCGCCGCGUGGGCCUCCACGGCGGCGCGCACGGUGAUCAUGACGUCCGGGUCACAGCGCUGCUGGCGCUCCUUGACGGCCUCCGUGCAGAGCCCGCACACGUACUUGCCCUGGAAGUGCUCCCGGACGCGGCCGAUGAACGUCGGCGUGCACUCCUCCGCCAUCCCGCAGCACUCGCACUGCACGCUCCGCGCCUCCCCCAGCGGCUCCCCCUGUGUCCACGUGCAUCAGCUUUAAAUUAAUUCGUGUAUAUGUUCAUAAUUUCUAAAUAUUUGUCGUGGUUUUAGUUGAAGGUACGGAGGGAGUAGAAGCUAGCUAUGAGCUAUCGAGGUGGUCGUUUGGAUGCCAUGGUGAAUAUAAUAUAUUGGUGAUCGAGAUCUACUACUGAUCUUCUGUACACGCUUUGGCAGUAAAAAAGAAGAAGCGGAAAUUAACGCCGUGUAGUAAUUAACACACACAAGGGUCAAUCCACGAAGAUGCUACUAUUAGCUACUUACCUCUCUAGCCAAGCGCCAAGGCAUAUCUCCCCGUUGCGAUCGACGACAGCUGGGCUAGCUAGCCCUCUCGAUCACGCGAACCUUCCAAGAGCUUCCUAUUCCUUCCUUGCACUCAAGUGCUUCCUACUGUAUAUCUCUAUCUUAGCUCUUAGCUAUAUGACCUUCUAACCAAGUGGUUAGCUAUCCUGGUCGAUCACUCGUGCACUCUCGUGUCUGCGACUCUGUGCACAUGCCGGCCUAUAGCUACCCCCAGGGCCUAUUUAUAGGGCACACACGGGCGGAAUGCCCGCGCGCGUUGCGCACACAGUAUCGCUUAUACACCACAGGAAAACAAAGAAACGCAUGCCCUUGUUGCCAUGUUGGGGGUGGAUCGAACUUGGUUUAAUUUGCGGCUCGUGCAUGCCAAGGGGAACGCGUCAGCCUGUCCAUCGGCCACGAGCAUGCAAGCUGGGCCGAUCGAGCAAAUGUCAUGGGUUCUGAUCGGUUACGACUUCAUCCGUACGUCGUCGCCGGAAAAGUAAGUACGUACGUGCUCGAUCAAAAUAUCCCAUAUGUAUGCGUUUACCCUGGUCCGGUUUUCCUAGGGAUAAAAAAUACUAAUAGUACAGUGUAGAUAUCUUCAAGCUGUGAAAUGGGCAGACCCAGUAAGUUGCACGUACACACAUGCUUUGGACUUAACUUUACCUUUCUUUCGUUUCUUUGCCAUCGGUUACAACUGUUGAAUGGAGUGAGGUUCAGGAUACCGGCGGGCAGGCGACCAGAAUGCACGUAUAUACUGUAUCACUCUCUGACUCCCUGUUGAUCUUCUGUGCAAAGACCUGUAUAUAUUACUCUGAACCUCGUUCCUUAACUUCGUUCUUUCUGAAUCUUAUCAAACAGGUCUGAAUCUUUUCCUGGUUUCUGAAUUUGUGAUGUCACGGAUUACUUUUGAGCUCGUCAUUUCAUCGAUCUGCAGGCAAAGCAAAAUGCCCAUGCAUGGAGAAGAUCCUAGCGGGUUGUCGAUCGAGAUCGCGCGCCUGUGAGUGGCUCACGGGAUGCGCAUCGGCCGCGUGAUCUUGCCCCUGACAGAGCACCAUCGCCUAACCUCAUCGCCGGCGGGACGGCGGGCACUUUCCUUGGAUCUUUUGUAGCUUCCUCUCCUUUUUUCCGUGCAGGUGGAUGAUGUGAUGCACGUUACGUCAUUCGUUCGUAUACUUCUCUCUAGUAUCAGAAGCUUCGUUAGAGCGUACGUCCCGGAGCCCGCCGGGCCGCCGCGCCGAUCAGGGCAACAGCAAGCGGUAAUAAGCGGUCCUCUAUUGAUGGUGCAUGCAUGCAGAUAUAUAGACCCUGCAAAUUGACAGUUCGUGCCCUGAAUUCGCAACCGAUGAACACGCAUCCAUACUCUUCGGAAUGUUGCUCCAGAGUAAUCGAGCUUGUCCCAGACGCAUGCAGCAUGCACCAGCUGAUUAGCUCCUGCCUGGAGGAGUUCCACACAAAAUUCGAGCAAAACUUGAAAAAUAUUACUCCCUCCGAUCCAUAUUACUCGUCAAAAUAUUACAUAUAUCUGGACGUUUUUUAAACAUAGAUACGUUCAUAUAGCAAAUUUGAGACAAGUAUAAUAUGGAUCGGAGGAAGUAAUAAACGACAAGUACAUUUUCGACCUGAAGUUAUACUUAUGCUUCAUCGAUCUUUGGCCAGCUUUCCAACACAUGUAAAUUUCCUAUCUAUUAAUCGGACUACAUUAUAAAAUGAGCCGUUCUGAAUGAUCACAAAGUGCAAAAGCUCCAUGCAUAAACUUUUGGACGGAAAAGGACAUUCAAAAAGAUCGGCUGAAAAAGCAAAACCACUUCAAAAAAAAGCUUGCAAUCAUGUUUCAGGUGAUCGUCCAUGGUAUCUUUUGUUGUCAUAUCACUACUAGAAUCCACAAAUUUUCCUAGUGCCAAAUAUUCUAGAUGAAAGCAAAAAAAUCUUAGAUAAAGGCUUCACCUAGGGACUGCACUAGGGAAAGAACCCUGGGUAUAGUAUGGUGGGGAAAGAGGGCUUUACCUAGGGGCAUUUUGACACCUCUAGGGAACGUUUCUUUACCUAGAGGCUUGAACUCUAGGAAAAGUUAUCACAUGGCAGCGGUGUGCCAAGGUGUAAAGCUACUGUCCCUAGGGCCAAUUUAACUCUAGGGAAAGACACGAGACCAAAAUUUUAAUCAAAUAUGCCACAUCAUCAUCUUUUCCUAGAUGACUUUACCUACUAGGCUCUCAAAUAGAUUCAAAUGGUACCAGAAUUCGUAUUUUGACCAUAUAUGAAUUCGUAUUGUCCAUAUUUGAAUUCAUAAUGACCAUAGUUCAAAUAUAUUCAAAUAGAACCAAAAUUAAUAACCAAUAGGAACAUAACACAAAAUGUUUAAUCAAUCUCAACCUUCAUUCAAAUAACAUGUUCGCAAUCAGUAAGAAGUGUUGUUGCUACAAAAAAUAGCCUCAUUAUUGAUCAACGGCUAGUGUUUGCUAUGCCAAACAAACAUGACUCAAGAUGUGAACAAUUGUCCCAGAUGAGUAUGCAGCUAGAAUCUGCUAUGCCAAAAAUCUGUGCAAAAGUAGGUUGUAUGCAAGACCUGUGCACCUGAAAAUUAGAUGACACAAAUUUUAGUUGUUUGAUGAAUACAUGUACAAAAUUUGAGCAGCAUAACAACUAUAAAUAUGAAAACGUGAAGGAGAAAUCAACUACAACGUGAAACGAGAAUGGAAGAACAGAAAUGAAUACAGGCUUGUUUGUUUCAUGAGUGUUUUUAUCUUGUUGGUUAACUAUUUUUUCCACAUCGGAAAUCAUGUUUGAAAAGGAGUUUAAAAGUGGUACUAAUUCUGACCUCAUACUUAUCCAUCCAUUCAAUUGUUCCAAGUCAUGCUAUUCUGCAUAAUUGCCAAUGACCAGAGCCAUUGUAGGAUUAUCAACUUGGUUCAAACAUUAUUUCUAAUUAUCAGUGAUGCCAAAGUAAACUUCCAGCUCUAGUGUGUGUACCAAUGCAUCGAGUACUAGUAGUAACUAGAAGGACCUGUCAAAUAUGAGUGCUAGUACUAGUAGUAGAAGGACCUGUACUUAGGCCACGUGUUGGUCUUGAAAAUAUCAGUAAAGAUACAACUGAAGCUAGAGUGGAGUAGAAAAUAAUUAAAUAAUUAAACAGAAAGUACAGAAAAAUAGGAGCUGGAGAGUGGAGAGGAAAAGGAGUCAGGGCCAGUGGUGCUGCAGCCUGUAGCUGGAAAAGUUCUCAGUAGCAGAACAGCGAGGAGGAGAAGCAGAGCAAGGAGAGUAUCAGGAGUUCAAGUGUUAAAGGUAAAAACUUGGAGUUGAGGGGAAAAACUGAAUAUUUGUUUACUUGUGUGUUGUUCAGAUGCUUGAAGAGUGGUUUAGGGGAAUCUCUGCUUGAGUUAAUUGUUGUUUUCUGUGGAAACCAAAUGAAGUAUUUGUUGCUCUAGUCAGGUUUCAGGCCUACAAAUAGAAGCCUGAUUACUGUAGAUGUUUAGAUUUAUCAUUAGCUGAGAAAGGAGCAAAGAAGGCAAGAUUCAAAUGUAAAUUCUGUUUUAUCCAGUGCGGGAGAGAGUAAAGGUGAACAUUUCAGAAUUUAAGCUGCAAAGAAAAACAAGUUUUACAGGGAGAGGGGGAGAGAGAGAGAGAGAGCACGCUAUUAUGUUCUUGUAAUUAAUUCAUGUCAAGUUUCGGAUCAUAUAUCCCCAUUCCCCACAGACAUAAGCACCCAUGCACAUCACAAAAUAGCCAUCUCGGGUUUUAUUUCAGAUGACACUUGGUUUUAUUUCAGAACACAUACCUAAACAGAGGAAUGAUUUUGGUGUUCUUGAGCAACAAGACUGGAGAAUGUUGUAUGCCAUUCAAAAUCUGCAAAACAAUAGAUGUGCUUUGAAAUGGCUACUUCCUUCUUUCAGUGUCAAACUGAGAAAGAUGAUUACAUACGUGAUUUCGGCUGUCAUUCAAAAUCUGCAAUUGCUUAGAAGACAUGGUAUGCUUGCUUGAUUGCUCGGUAGCACAAAGGAUCAGUUUGUUCUCUAUUCAUUCAAUCUGGCCAGCAAAAGCUUGUAUUUCUCUGAAAAAGAUGUACAAAAUAAUUAGGCAAAGCAAAAUAAUGCUAAAUCGUAUAGUUAGCUUUGUCGAUGUUGUACAUACAUCUGAACAUCAAUCUUCAGAACAUUUACUCGUGAAUUGCAGGCUUCACACAAUUGCUCCUUCAAAAUACAUACAAGAACAACAAUGCAUUAUCAUCUAUUUUCUUAUCAUUGCAUCACAAGGUUAAUCAGCAUCGUGUUUGCACGAACAAGGUUUCAGAUAGCAAAAUAUAUCAACAAUGACAACACAUGUACCACAAUUGCAGAACAAGGUUUCGCACAAAGAAUGCUCCUUCCAAUUAUAGGACAUUUAGAUAGCACAUUUAGCAUAGAGAACUAAUCAACUAAAUCAAUUGCUAAAAACAUCAUGGUUUCACACAUCAUUCAGAUAGCACAACUAGGAGAAAGCAAAUCAUUGUUUCAGAGAACCAAAUCCAGUAAGAAAGACACCUAGAAUAGCAAAGUUCAUCAAAAGAACUAAUCCUAGAACAUGUAGAACAUAGAGAGACCUAGAUAUAUAUAGAGAGAAGACUGAGAGGGGGAGAGAGGACAAACCAGAAGGGGUGGCGCACAUGGUCCUGUGGCCGUAGAAUCAGAGGAAGGCGGUCACCACAGGGACUCACUACGAGAAGAAGACGGACCCCGCCUCUGCCGCAGUUCCAGGCGGGUUUCAGGCACGGACACCGCGAUCGCAUCCUCGUGGCGGCGCACCGAUGGUGACAGCGGAGGCGGUAGUGCGGCGGUCCUUGUAGGAAAGGUUCUGGCGGCGCCGGUACGGCAGGGCGGCGCGGGCAUGGCGAGGAGGCAAAGGUAUUGCGGGGCUAUGGAAUGGCGACGCGGCUAUGACAGGGAGUCGGGGGUAUGGCGCGGCUGAGCAGAUAUGGAGGGUUGGAGACGGGACGGAGCCGGACGGCGCGGCUACGACAGAGAGGCGCCGUGGAGGCGGGGUGGAGCAGGGCGGCGCGGCUAUGGCAGGGAGGCGCCGAGGAGGCGGGCGGCGCGGCUACAGCCAGGAGGCGCCGUGGAUGCGGGUUGGAGGCGGGCGGCGCAAGGGGAAAGGAGACCGAGGGGAAAGGAGACAGAGAUACAAUAUUAUUUUUUUGAGAUGGGAGAAGGCUCACUUGUUGUCUCGCGCGGGCAUAGCUGAAAUUUUUCGCUUUGCUCUCUAUCACUCAGGUGGGCCUGUGUGAAGCAAAGCGCGCCCAUGGAAAAAAGAGCGCGGGGCUGACUGAAAAGAGAAGAAAAAUCACACGUCGGGGGCAUCUUCUUCAGAUUCUUUACCUAAAGCUCAAAUAAACUCUAGGGAUACUUUACCUCACAUUUAUUUUUGGAUGCAAAUUCUCCUUACCUAGGGUGUUACUGUUUGCAUCUUUACUUUACCUAGAGGAGAGAAAUCAGCUCAAGGUAAAAAGGUUUGCUCUAGGAAAAAUUGUGAUUUCUAGUAGUGCCAAAGAGAUUUUCUGUUAUCGUCGUAGUCGAGUCUAGAUUGUGUUGAAAUUGACGGUGAAGGACUCGGAUAGCAGUUUGGUCAAAUCUAGCUUCUACGAGUGAAGUGAGACAAGGGUGACGGUAAAACCUUUGCUCUGAGCGACGCGUACGUGUUGUAGUGGUUACGAUAUUGAUUGUGCCGAACUUAAUCCACUUGGCAACCAUGCAUAUGUAAUUUUCUGACAAGCGUAAAUCAUGACAGAAGAUGUCUCCGGAUGUAAAACAGUAUGCAUGGAGAAGGUUCUUCAACAAGCCGUUACUAUAGCCCGUUACUAUAGCCGUUGCUUUGCAUUCCAUGUCAUGACUUCUCUCUUCUAUCCAUCAUUUUUUUCUAAUUAAAAAAUAUUAUUUGUACUAGGGACUCAUUUGUCAUACUCCAACUUUUUUUGGUACCCGUGAAGUAACAGUUUUUUGCAGGAGUAACUAAUAACUAUACUUCUUCCUACAUGCCCUAAGAGACUUUUUUUCCUUUUGUAACUAAGGCAGAAAGAUUUGCCUCAUUUUAUUCUUUAAGUUAAUUAAAAAAAAGGGGGAAGCCAUCUAAAGACACGACACCACAGAAGCCUACUUUCCGCAUAAAAUGUUCUCCAGUGUCUUGGCUGCCUCAGACUUAUUUUGGCAAUGGUUAUGGAUGGCUAAGAGCCUUGCCGGUGAAAAUUUCCAUCCCGUCCACCAAUUCUUGACGCAAUUGCAUUGUUUCACACGUGAGAUUGGAAGUUGAUUAGUCCGAGCCAAUCCCUCGUGGCGGCCCUCCAGGCUCCAGAUUCUUUCGGAGCCGUCUCACUUUAAUUACUCGGCCAUCCUCUCCAUUGGAGAGGUCAGUCGUCCAGACGACCAGACAUGCGGGAGACACCCAUGUCUUCCAAAGUCCUGUGAUAACCCCAACUAGACCUGUCGGGCUUGGUAAAGUUCAGUAGCAAAACCUCAAGCCUAGGCUGGCCCGGCCCAGGAAAAGUCCUUUUAUACCUAUUUUCGGAAAAAUUAAACUGGAGCCCGGGACACUGGGCCGAGCUGGGCCACCCAUGCCCAAGUCUCCCCAGCCAACUGAUAGCAUACUAGCGCUGUGUCAAAGGCCGAAAAGCAGUAGGCUAUAUGGGCCGCAUAAAACCGAAGCAACUUAUGCAGAGUGGGCCGAAAGUAGGGCCUAGCUGUUCUUCUUCCCCUUCCCUCGGAGGAAUAACCCCGUUUACCUUUGCGAUUCAUUCACGUGUGGGCGUCGAGCCGUCGAUCCACCGAUGCGAGGGCACGGCGAGGGAGGGUCGGUGAACAACAGAACAAUUCGUGACUUCGUGUUUCCAGCAACAGUGGCGGUACUACUACUCCACCUGGCUAGCUUUUGCUCCAUCGAUCAGGUGCACCCAGAAAGUCAGAAACAGAGGCCUGCCGCCCGGUCCAGUGAACGUAGUAUCAGCAAGAUGAGCCGCGUACGUCGCCAGGUGGUAAUAAAUUGUUUCACGGAGGCACAACUUCUCAUGGCACGGGAAAGAUCGAUGGACAUACUGUAUUCACGAACGCAGACGCAGGGGCACGGCACGGGCAGCUUCCCUGCGACUCGCCGGUGGUGCACGCACGUGGCCGCACGUGCGCGGCAGCGCGAGCACUCCCCCAUGCGCAUCUGCAGGCCGGUUGCCUGCCGCCGGUGGCCGGGGAUUGGCGGGGCCGAAGCAGCGGGAUGCGGCCACACACUUGGUUCGAUGCUGCCGUUUUCCCAUGUGAACUAGCGGGUCACCCCGCAAAUUGCGCGAUUAGACUUGUACAUGAUUUAUAUUCUUUGUGUAUGUUUAUCUUUAUUUUUUUAAUUGAUUUAUGUAUGUUCUGAAUGAUUAGAUAGGUUUAAAUUGAACAAAUUUCAUAAAGCACACAUUUUGUUGCUAUGGUAUCACAACCACACUUAACACCAAUUCUUUUCGUAGAACCACGACUCUUAAGACCAUUUUUCUCAAGUGACCCCAAUAUGCUAGUUUAAUGGGUUUGACAACAUUCCUGACAUGUGUGGCCCACAUGUCAUAAGGCACAUGCAAGUCAAGAUCGGAAGAAGUUGGGGUAAAUUAGGGGGAGAAAAGGAGAGGGUUAGCGGGUCAAGUAGGGUCUGACAUUGACCUUGUAUGUGACAUGUGGGUGUGAUUUUGAAUUUACUUGUUUAAAUUUAUAUCACAUUACAUUGUAGAUUAAGUAGUCAUUACAUGUUUUCAAAAGAGUUGUAUUUUACUAACACUGUCUACAAUACUGAAGUGUUCAGGUUGCACAUGUAACAUAUGUGUUUUUGCUGCACUUAAAUUUGCUUAAUUUAAAAGGUUUUCUUUUAGACAUCAAUUAUAGAUGUAUAGUUUUUAAAUCCUUGGUAUAGAUAAUGCAAUAAACAUUCCAUUUUAUCCGGCCCGAUUUGUAUUUCUUACUCCCGUCAUCCCUUGGCAUAUACAACUUUUCCGAAUUUCUUUUAGCCGCAACGCACAACACAAAAUCUCCCUCAUUCUGUCAUGCUGCUUCCAGCAGAUUGUAGCAUGUGUCCAGUUGCGGCCGUUUUCGUGGAAUUAAUUGGUGCACCUGUGGUAGAUCGGCUUCCGGCUAGCGUUUUGUGCGAGUUUGUUGCUACCGGUAAACAGCGCUGAUCGGCACUCGGAUUUUCACACCGACCAGCAUCUCGAGUAGGAUUGUAUUUUAUUUUGCUUCAUUCUUGUUGUAUUCAAAGACGUUAAGAGAUCCAAAGAGGUUUUGUGUUGUAUUCGAAGACAAUCAAGACCCAAUUGACUAUGGGAUAUACUGUGCCGUGAUUGGUUUCCUUCAAACUUAUAUGCUAGGUUAAAUAUCCACGAUGAAAUCUUGACCGUACGGUAAUUUUUGCAUAAUCUAGACCAUAAAAUUUCUGCUACUUUAAUUCUAUAUAAUUAUAUUAUAAAAAUCUAAAUUGUACGUUAACUUUUGCAAAAUCUGGACACAACAUCGAAAAGAGAAAAACACUGACCUUUUGGUAAUGGCGUCGAGGGCCACAGCGGCGGCUCCAGCGAAGGGCGGAGUGGGGACAUGGCAUGGCAGUUGCAUCGGAGGGAGUGUGGUCGCAGUGACAACGAAUAGCGAUUGCGGCGGGUGGCAAGGUCGCCGCGACGGUGCGAUGCGCGCGGCCAGUGGAGGCGAUCAUGCCGUGGACACGGCGAGGCAGCGGCACCCGCGGGCGCUGCAAUGUGCUGCAUGCGGACGUUUAGAUGCAAGGAGAUUGUUUACCAAAAAAGACGAAGUAGAGAAAAAGCAACGAUGGUUUUCCGUGAUAUGCAGCGCAGGCUGCUUCCUUCCUGGACUCUGAUCCAAACAUCCGAAUAAAUCCAACUCUGAUCCAAACACUCGGACACAUGCAUGCCCAUGUCCGUAUUCUUGUCUAAUUGCGAUGCAAUCACACGUAUAUGUCAUGUACGGCUGUACAUGCCAAUAAUAACUGUUUUAGUUAUAUAAUAGAUCGAUAAAUCUGGAUCAUAAGAUUUCUGCUAUUUUAAUUAGAUAUUAGAUUAAGCCGGCCCGGACCAGUCCCACCCCCGCCCCGGCACCGUCCUGCCCAGAAUGGGUACCCCUAUCUGCAACAAAACCUCUUUGCUUACAUGGUCAGGUGGUGUAUAUGUCCAAUUUGCAGAACGCAAAGACCUUUUUUAGCUGCUGUUUCCUGCUGGUGGUUGUCCAACGUUUGCAAGGAGAAAUCAGAAAUCCAAUCUUGGGGUAGAUAGGCUUGAGAAAAAUCUGAAUUCUGAACAAACUCUGGAAUUGACCGCCCUAAGUAAAACCUUUGAUAAAUCUCCACACCAAAUGCGUACGGCGUACUAACGUGGGUCAGAUAUCGGAUUCAUCUGCUCGGAGUACUAUCCAGCAACCUCCAAGAAUUUCCUGCGUAGGUACGAUCAUUGUACCGCGUCAAAUAUUUAUUCGCCGAACAGAAGCAAAAAAGCGUCUUUCUCUUGCCACGAAAUCCGUCAGGGACAGAGGCAGUCGGCCGGCCGUACUGCAAUGGGUAAAACGAAGCUUUCGGUUUGCAAAGUACGUAUUACGUACGUCGGCACGCACGGAUCGACCGUCCAAAAAAGAGGCCCGAAACGAGGUGCAAAGAGAUGAGACACCAGGAAGAAAGAAAAAGAGAAUCCAUCCAAUCCAACAGCGCCGGACCAAAGAACAUUUUAACAGCGCGGUGGUUGGAUCCAAUCUCUCGCAGUCACCACCACCCAGUAGCCCCACGCACGCACAGACUACUACUACUGCCCCCGCCUGCCACGGUAGCCGACAUUGAAAAAAAUCCAGUAGCUGACACUGAAAAAAAGUUCACUAGCAGCAGCAGCAGCUGACAUAGUAUAGCCUUUCGCGUAAUGCCGGCCAGUGACUGCUCGUUGUCACGAUAUGCUGUAAAAAGAAUUCGCGAGCAUCGGCAGGGAGCAUCUGUUCUGUUCUGUUCUGCGGUGAAGUGCGGAAGUGCGAGAGGGGAGAAAAGACCAAUUUACGGCAGCUGCGUGUUGAGUGUGAGUUAUUCUUCUCUCACGAGAUUCGCAUGGUCACGUGCACCUUUCGCUCCCCUGCGUAAGUACUAGGCCAGGAGCUAGCCAGUACGUGCUAGUUCGGUUGGGCACGCCCAAGUCGUGCCACUUUGUGCGCACCAGCGACCCCGCGUGCGUGCGAGACUGCGAGCAUGCCUUCCUUAUCAUAUCAUUUCAUCGAUUCGCAUUGCCACCACAGGGGCAUCAUCAUCAUCGAUCUUGCUCGCCUCAACACAGACAAGAUUGGAAAAUCACAUGCAGCUCAGCUUGAGAUUAACAAUCUGAUAUUCUAGGAACACCCUUGUAGCAUUGCAUUACAAGGAGUAAAAACUCUAUCAAGGAAAAAAGUCUAAAUAACAGAGAAGAAAAUGGAAAACAAACUCCCUAGCUAAGCUAGUACAGGAUUUAUCUCUAAGCAAACUUGAGAGCUGGGAAAUGGAGAGUCUAAAUAGCAGCAGCAGCAGCAGCAGCAAGCAUACAGGUCUCAGGAAAAGAUAAAAUUAAAUCCGGAGAAACAUCGAACUCCCUAGCUGAAAAGAAGAAGAAGAAGAAGAAAAAUUAGCUGUUCCUCUUGCUGAAAAUUAUUCCUGGGCUAAACGAAUCAAUCCUAGCUCGCAGGCGGGCGAAGACGGCGUCCCUACCGGUAGCUGUGGUGGUGGCCUAUGCGGUUGCGGAGCAGGAACUCGUCCGCGCCGGCGAUGAGCGGCCCGUCGAACAGCAGCGGGCUCGGCACGUGGACCUGCAGCCCCGGGUGCGGCUGCGGCUGGUGGCCAUGGUGGUGCAGGUGCUGCUGCUGCUGUGGCGGCUCCUUCUGGCGCCGCAGCUCGACGACCUUGCGGUGGGAGUUGGAGUGCCUGGACGCCUCGAAGGUCGGGCUGGCCGCCGGCCGGUACUCCGGCACCAGCCUGCCGGACUUGUACCGCACGCCGCACGCGUUGCACAGCGUCUUGGGCCCCAGCGGCCCCGUCCUCCACUGCGGCGUCUUGUCGGUCUCGCAGUGCAGGCACCGCCUCCCUUCCGCCGCAGCCAUGGCCGCCGCUGUCAUCGGCGCUGCUGCUGCAGGAAGGGGAUCCUUCUUCUUGGCAGCCUUCGCGGGCUUCUUCGCAGGGAAGGGCGGGAAGGCAGUGCCCGAUUCAGAAGGCGAGAUGACCGCGGAGGCCGGGGACGGCGGCGAGGCCGGAGCCGGCGGGAGCACGAGGAGCCUGGAGGACCAGUUGCAGGGAGCCACGCGGGACCGCUUGCUGCGCGCCUUGCCUGGCACGGGCACAAGCGCCGGCUCCGAGUGCAGCGCCCCACCGGCGCCAGCGCCGGCGCCGGCGCAGGCGGCAAGCUUCGGCGCGGGCGCGCGCGGGGCGGCGGCCGGCAGCUGGGACGAAGGGAAGCCGGAGAUGAGCUGCAGCUUCCGGAGGUCCUCCGUGGGCAAGUUGUCGUCGCCCAUGUAGUUGGACACCCAUUCCAGCUCUGCUAGCUGGUCAUACUGCGUUGAGACAAAAUUUCACGGCGAGGAAGAAGAAGAUGAAACAGAGAGACGAAUUCAGUCAGUCAGUCAGCAAUGGGCAAUCAAUCAACAACUCUUGGGACUACUGAUUACUAGUACUACUGGAAAUUAUUCGGUAUCUGCAAAGUGGGGAGAGCAUUUAGGACGUUGCUAUUUCUGGCCUCCCGGGUUUUCAUCAGUUGCUAUUUACGGGAGAUGUUGCGUUUCCCUUCAUUCGUGGGGGGCGUUUUCAUGCGGAUUGACCGCCUCCUCCUCCCCCUUCCAGGAAACGAAAACUAGUACAGCUAGCCGAAAUUCGAACGAAUUCCGGCGUAAAUUCGUGGAAAGAAAGAUGAAACGCGAAAUUAACAUACGAGAGGACAGGAACUUAAAACGGGGGAGGCCUUACCGGCUCGCAUAGCCCGCCGGAGAAGUCGCCGUCGGCGAGGCCGGAGAGGGAGUUGUUGCCGCUGUCGACGGCCGUCACCGUCGACGAGUCGCCCGACGCGUUCCCGGCCUCCCCGCAGCCUCCGCCGCCGCAAUCCCCGUCCAGCCCCUCCGCCGCCGCCGCCGCCUCGUCCCCCUCCUCCUCAUCGCACGGCAGGUCGAGGAGGUCGUCUACGAGGAAAAUCUCCCCGGCGUCCUUCUUCUCACGGGCGCCGCCCGCCGCACACUCCGCCGCCGCCGCCUCCAUCCGCUAAUCUCCUCGCAGUCGUCUCUCACGGGAACGGAAAACAAAAUUCGUCCUCGAGUGGAUUUCUCUUUUCCGCCUCCUCGCCCCGGAAUUUUCUGUCUGAUUUUUCUCUGCGUGCGUACGUGGAGAGGGAGGCGGAAAUAACGCGAGGCGGAGAGAGAGUAGGGUUUUAAUUGGGAGGCGUUGGCGUUGGAGAGCGGAGUGGAAUAGAUAGAUAGAUAGAGAGGUCAGGUCAGCUUUGGAGGACGAUUCUUCAGGAGUAAAUAAAGCCACAGCCAGCCGCUCCACCGGGGUGUCAAAAACCUGGACGAUUUUGAAAGCUUGUUAAUAUUUGGGUUAUCUCGUAUUUAUAGGAGCAUGAAAGAAAUCUCAAAUUUAUUGUUGCCCGAAGGACGACAACUUUAUGUGAUCAGAAUGAGCUCAUCGACGGGUUGUCAACUGAGUGAGCUCGAGCCGAGGAACAUAUGGCCUGCACCGUUGGGUAGUCAAAAGUUGAGCGAUUGUAGUUUAUUGUUGCGGGAAAGAUGAGAGAUCUAUUAGGUCAACCUGCGCUCAUCGUCGGGUUGUCAACGAUGCGAUCUCGGGCUGAGAAACGUGUGGUCACUGUCAGGUAGUCAAAAGUUGAGUGAUUGUAGUUUAUUGUUGCGAGAAAGACGACAGAUCUAUGAGGUCAAACUGCGCUCAUCGUCGGGUUGUCAGCGAUGCGAGCUCGAGCCGAGAAACGUAUGCUUGGCAGCGUUGGGUUGUCAAAAGUGAAGCGGCUCGGAGUUUAUUGCUGUGAGAAAGACGACAACUGCAUGAUACCAACCAGUGCUAAUUUGUCAGGUUGUCAACAGUGCGAGAUCGAGCUGAGAAACGUAUGGUCAGCAACGUCGGGUUGUCAAAAGCCUAGCGCCUCAGUGUUUAUUGUUGUUGGAAAGACGACAAUUGUAUGAGAUCAACUUGUGUUAAUUGUCGGGUUGUCAAUAGUGUGAGCUCGAGCUGAGAAACGUAUGCUCAGCAUCGUCGUGUUGUCAAAAGUUGAGUGGCUUGGAAUUUAUUGUUGUAGAAAAGACAUCGGUUCUAUGAGAUCAAGCCAUGCUCAUCGUCGGGCUGUCAACAAGCCGAACUUGAGCCAAGAAAUGUGUGCUCGUCGUCAGGUUGUCAACGAGUCAAUCUCGACGCGCUCGUCUCAAACUCGUUAUAACUCAAGUUGACCGUGAUCAAUUAGUAAUUCUCAUCAAAGUUGAAGUAUUAGGUAACAAACUUCCCGAAAUCAACAAUGAUUAAAGUAAAAGGUGAGAUAAACCAACAAAAAUCUAUUUCAGACUUCCCGAAAUCAACAAUGAUUAAAGUAAAAGGUGAGAUAAACCAACAAAAAUCUAUUUCAGACAAUAAAUAAACGUUGAGAUAAUUGCGCGCGAGGAUCUCCCAAGUGGGUAGAACAUGAGUAACUAGACGCGGAGAGAAUCUUUAGUACUCCCUCCGUUUCAUAAGGAUUGACACGGUUUUAAACUAGCUCUCUAGUCUAAAUCCGUGCCAAUUUUUAUGAAACGGAAGAGUAGCAUUUAGCAGCAUCAGUAGUUUGUUGCGAUAGGAAGAGGAAUAAAAAUUUGAUGCUUGCAUAUAAGAGGAGAAGGGGGAGACCGGUGGAUUGCUGAGUCAGGAUAGUCAGCAUUGUAUCAUUUAUUGUUUCCCGAAACAUUAUACAUCGGUCUCUGCAUCAAUCGACGCCUCAAGCUCGACCCACGAAGGGCAUCCAUCAAACAUGUCGACCAUUUUUCACAACUAUGUUAGUGGCAUUCGUUACAUAUAACAUUAUCUGUAUACAAGGUAUCUGUAAUAUUUUUUUUACAAAAAUAAAACGUUUGACCAUAAUCUGUUGACUUUCGAUUGAAACGUGGAAGCGGCAUGAAAAAAAAUCUCGCGCGGUUGGACCAUCUGGGGUUGUGCACCUGAUCAACGGAAGGCAUCACCUAGGGAAAGUAACUUCACAAGUUUACAUCCCCACCAUCCUGUCUCCAUCAAAUUUUGUACCGAUAGCAAAACUCACCUACCACGGUAAAAAAAGAAGAAGAAGAAUCCUGGACGUUUGGCCAUGGAGCCUUUGCAACACGUUGAAAAGCAUCGCAAACAAGAACUGACGUCCGAAAGCAAAAAAAACAGUUCAAAAAACAAAAAGGAAAACUGACGUCCGAGAUAUCGCACACGUUAGCCGCCCAGCGAGGCGCCUCCGUGGAAGGCGCGCACGUCACGGACCCCGCUCUCGUGCUGCCACGCACGCACCACGUGGGCCGCCCCGCCGCUGAGCCGCUGAGGGCGCCGCUCGCCGUCGGAUGCGUGCAGCCCAACGCGUGGCCGGCAUCGGUGUGGGAUAUUAGUGGGCUGCGGGCCGAGAUGAUGCAACAACAUGGAGGGCCAGCCCGCGCGCCGGCGUCCUGCGAGAGAUCAUUGAUCCCGAGGUGGAUUGGCCCUGGGAAUCGUGCCACGUGACAGCGCUGUUGCCGGUUUCGUUUUCUUGGUAUAAAGUUUUCGUUUUCUUCGUAAAACUAUUAAUUGUUUCGUGUCCUCGGGCGGUAGCUAGGCACACCGGCGGGUUAGCACGCACCUAAACCUAGACGGCACAUGAUUGAAUCAUUAGCUUUAAAAAAUCGUGAACGAAAGAACACUUCUUUAACUUUUCACCAAGAUUGCCCAUUUUCACUCGUUAGACCUAGCUAGUACAGUAGUACCACUCCAGUUUUACAUGUUUAUAGAUAAUGUUAUACUCCCUCCGAUACUAAAUUGUUGUCGAAAUAUUACAUGUAUCUAUACGUUUUUUAAAAAUAGUUACAUCCCUAUUUGGACAAAUUUGAGUCAAGAAUUUAGUAUCAGAGGGAGUACGUAGUACAAUUAUUUGUUGUUUUUUUUGACAGAAAACCACUGGGUAGUUAACUAAUCUUUUAUACCCUGACCUCUUUUAUACCCUGACCACGUAUACAUGGUGGUAAAAUCUGUCCUAACAAUGAUCUAUUGAAAUAUUGAUUUCAGACAAUCAAAAAUGUUUUCUCAUUGAUCUUCCUGAUAAAGAUAUUGGAAUCCUCCUGCAGUUGUCAGACUCCUGCCCCUCCGUCAAUCCCAACAGUAGGAUACACGAGAGCCGAAUACAUUAUUCCGCCCACGGGCUCCACGGCCCAGUUUUGAAGCGAUGGGACGGGUGCAGUGGGAUCCCACCAGCCACGUGAGUCCUGCGUGGAGCCGGCCGGGCUCGCACGGCACAGACGUCCGACGGGACACCGCUUGUAUUUUGCCUUGGUCAAUGCCUCACACGUACUCCUAUAUAUUAUACGUCGCGCCAUCCCAUCCUAUCUAGUACUCCUACAUACGAGAAUGACGAAUGCGUAUAUGCGUCGUUUCUUUCCCCUGCCAUUCCAAGAAGCGGUGACGGUACAUGACAACAGAAACAAUGGGGCCCGUAAAGCUUGGUUCGGCCAGCAACUAUCGCCUCAUCUGGCUUAUCGUCUUGUGUAAAGCUAGCAAUUAGCAAAACCUUUAGAAACCAGAAGCCCACACAGCCACACGGCGUAAGUACUUUCUCCUUUUGCAAGAGUGGUUUACACGUCCACAAGUAAAGCAAAGCACAUGACUGGCGGCGUCCGAGCACAGCAAUCGAUCGAUAGCAGGGCGCCAUUUUUCACCAGAGGUUUGUGUAAAAGGUGAUCGAGUGCAUGGCCAUCGAUCGAUCGAGCUUGCCCGCCGUGGCAUGCAUGCGCCAAACUUAUUUUUCUCUCCACGAUGCAGUGCCUGUCCAAAUGCGGAGCCCCAGCAGCCGGAGGAACAUGCGCUGUCCGUAAGUAGAGUAGCAUUCAUGCAGCCUUACACUACGUCAAGUUUGUGUAGGAUUCAACGGCGAUGAUUACACGAUAAGCUUUCGUGCUUCAUGGCGCUUUCCUUUUUUUUUGUUGAGAAAAGCUUUGCCGAUUUCUUUGUUGGGGGAACGUGUGAUAGAGAACGUUGCAGCCCAAUAGCCUGCUGCGCAGGGAUCAGCUCGAGGAUAUUCUUUAUGGGCCCCAAAUUGCAAAACGGUCGGCCCAUCUAGCGACUGCCACGGAACAAGAUGAACCCGCUAUCAACACAACACUGAACACAGUUCUCAAAAAAAAAAAAAAGACACUGAACACUGUCCCUCUCCUCUCUUGAGUCCCGACCGAAGCCACCGGAUAGCUUUACGCGUCGUUCCAAUCCAUGGCGCCCCCGCCGCGGCGAGACCCGAACUACAGCAUCAGGCGGAAGGUGAGCACCGCCAGCAGCCACCAUGUCUCCGUCCGCCACAGCUUCCUCUUGGUACCGCCACUCUCUGCACCUAAUUAAACCCUAAUCUCUCCUCUGUCCCCCCCCCCCCCCCCCCCCCCCCCCUGCAGGACGAGGAGCAGUGGGUCGCGGUGAGUCUCCGCCCGGCCAAUUUCCUCCCGGGCGUGGCAAUAGGGUUCCUCCUGGGCAUCAUCCUAGACCUGUCCUCCUCCUGGAGAUCCAGGUUCAGCUUCGCGUCGGCUCCGGCGUCACGAGCCAACAAGCGGACGGGCGGUUCGGUCGCCCCAGGCGAAGAACUUAAGAUGGUAAGCUGGACUUCGAAAUGUUCUGCAGGAUUGUGCCUAAAUUUCUAGUACAAAAGGACCCAUGCACAUUCCAUGCAUGAUUAAUUGGCUCCUGGCCCUGAAUGCUUAUCAUCUGGGCUGUGUUUUUUUGCUUUCUUCAUGACUUCGUACCCUGAGGAUAAGGAAAUGCCUGUGUAUUGUUACACAUCAACAAAUCACAUUACCUCAACAUUGUUAUGUUGUCACGCUCCAUGACACACCCUUGGCUUUGCAACAGUUCUCGGUUGAGCUUUUCCAUGGGUAGAAUUGGGAAUUUUUUAUGGAGGGCAACAUCUUGGACGGAUUUGAAUUUGUGGGGUUGGAGUCGAUGAAUGAGGAGGACAAUUACACUGGCAUGUAGGUUUUACCGUUUGACCAACAAUUUGAGAUGGCCCCACAUGUAAAGGAUGAUGAUGAGAAUGUAAACAGACUGUUACCACUGGUUGAUGUCUUUAUAGGAGUGAAGAAUGCUGGAUCGCCUGAACUGUGUUUACCAAAUACUCUUUGUUUUCUGUUGGAAUCCCUCGAUUCUAGAUUUAAACUUGUUUUGAGUUUGGGCACUGUGGUUUGCAGGUUUUAGUCGUGCGUCAGGACCUGAAGAUGGGUGCUGGAAAAAUAGCAUCUCAAUGUGCACGUAAGUUCAUUUCUUGGAUUCUUUGUGUAAGCAUUUGUUUCUUGACACGUCUCUUUAUGUUGGACCUAUCCUGGCCCAGAGACAGUAGUUUGCUCAAAUAGAACUUAUUCCUUGCCCAUUCUGCAACAAUCAAAAUCUAGCCAGAGCAACUCUAGUUUAAGUAUGUACGAAAAUGGAAUUCAGUAGAUAGCGGCUAUUUGGUGCACUGAGUAGUAAAUUUUUAAGCAAAUGUGCAUCUUUAUGCUUUUAAUUACUUGCAAUCUAUUUUCUUUGCAGAUGCAGCAACUGGCUUGUACGCGGAUCUGUUGGCAAGGUGCUAAUGCAGUUUGCAAUCUUGCUUCAUUAGGUAGUUCUAGUUAAAGGAUGUAGAUUAUUUUCUCCAUAAAAUUUUAGCUUGCCUAGGGACAUGUAGAGCUGGAUUGAUAAUGCAGGGCUGGAUUGACAAUAGUCCAAAUACUGGUACGUAUUGAUUGGACUUGAAAUCUGUUCCUUGUUUUAGUACCAUGCCAGUUUUGCUAGCUUUAUUUCUGCAUGGAAGUCAGCAUCAUACUUUUCUUGCAUCAAAGUCUGACAAACCUAGCUAUCUUUCCUGAGUAGGUGUUGAAUUUAACUUUGAGUUAUUAUGCUACUCGUAAGUAUUCCAUCAUCCAUAGGUGGGGAGUCUCCAGAGCAUAAUCUUAAAAAAGUCUUACUUAUGAUGCUGGUUAUGUUUUCAUUGAAGACAAGCCUUUUCAAACAAAUAACGAUACAGUAGAUGCAAGUUAAGAUUUAAAUAAGGAACAAUAAUUUACGAAGUAACUGGACAGAAAAGAGAAGCUGAUAAAUCAAAAGGGUCUGACCUAAUUAGUGCUCUUUCUUAUCAGGACCACAUAGUAUAUUUUCUUAACAAAUAAAAAAAGAACUAUUGUACUGCAUGAAGUUUGAAAUGUACUAGAUUCGUAAAACUCUGGCAAGAUUAGGGGUGCUAGUCUCAUGCAGCUAUUCGCCUACUUUCCACAUUGAAGAUUUUUCCCGUCAUCAUUCCUUUGCAGCAACCGGGUUCUUUUGAGACAAUGGGAGCAAUUCGGACAAGCUAAGAUUGUUCUGGCUUGCAAGAAUCAACAGGAAAUGUACGUCAUAUCUUUCCCAGGACGUAUGUUUCUUUGAACAAUAUUUGCUGGAUUAUGAUGUAGCCUGCCUUUUUCCCUCAUUGUGUAUUAUCAGGAACAGGAUAAAGGAAACUGCAGAACACCGAGGUAUCCCAACUUUUGUUGUUGCAGAUGCAGGGCGUACUCAGGUUUGUUUUAUGCUUUAUGACUCUGCCUAUAUUGAUAUAUCGGAUUAUUUUCCAUCUGUGUUGGUCUGUGUUGGUGUCACUUUGGGAGGACAAGUCAGUUAUCUAUUGAGCUGUAAAAGCAGCCCUCUUCAGGCUUCUGACAAUUCAGCAUUCGUAGUGAUACUGGAUGUCUGUAUCUGAAUAACUCUUGAGUAAUUGUUGUAGGGUAUAUUUCUUACUGAAAUCAUGUUCUUUGUUGUUGAUUUUUAAACCACAUUUAUCCAUCAGGAUGUUCGUAUUUGUGCUAUUGUUUAUGCAACAAUUCAAAUCCAGUGAUUUCAUUUAUUUUAACAAUUGCAUUGUAGCUCUUUCAAUGCAUAAUAAAAUGAAUAACGGAAUUUAUUGCAUCAAAAAUAAAUAAAUAAAUAGUGGCAGCUAUAAUCAAAUGACUGUGAUGCAUUUACCCUGAUCAUUACUAAUUCUCAUUCUGUUUGUAGGUACUGGCAGGAUCUAAGACAGUUCUUGCAGUAGGACCAGGUUAAUUUCACAAUCAGAACUAUGUGUUUUAAUCUCUUAGACACUAUCAGGGGUUUUCACGAGUCAGAAUUUCCCCUUGUUAAUUACAUUGUCCUAAUUCGGUCAAAAGAACAUGAUCCUCAUGCCCUGUAUGGAGUAUGGGCCACAGAUAGAGCGAUCUAACUGUUAUCUGGUGAAGCCCACUAAUUAUUUCAUCUUUAGCACUAUGCUAGAGCAUAAUAUCGCAUGCUGUUGUGGUGCAGGGAGGAAAGCCGACAUAGAUACAGUUACUGGGAAAUUGCGUUUACUGUGAGCUGCAUUCGACAUGGUCAGUCCCAGUCCUCUGUUCUUCCUGGUGUUGUUCUUCCAAAAUAUCAGCCUUUUGUCUUAUGAAUUUCGAAAGGGCUUGUGAAUAUUCACUAAUUUUUAGAACCCUUAAAAAAACUUGGUAGUAUCUUCACGAAAAGAAAAGAAAACACUGAUGGUAACCAGAGUGUUCUUGAUGCAAGUUUCAUCUUCAUACUGCCUUAGACAACAACAAUAUCUGCUAACCUUGGGCUUUUCUCUUCAUUUGAUUCCAGAGCAUUCAUCGGAGUUCAACUUCGAUGUUCUCCUGAGUAGAAGGCCAGGAUCAGUUUACUUGUGUUUGUGUGCUUCGAGGAUUCUUACUUUGGUCUUUCAUAUCAGGGCAGUAUCUUAUGUUUGUGGGCUUGCUGUUGAAGGACAGAAUACUUUCGUUGUACCCAUUUCUCAUGUUAACAAGAAAGUGAUUCCGCUGAUCCAGCUCUAGAGUGCUUGAUUAAAAUGCUAUCAACCUUUUUCUCGUCCACUUGAUGCUAGUGCAUAACAGCCUUUUUUACCCUGUUUGCGCCACUGGACAAGUGUUUGUAAUUUCAAAGUAGGUUAUCGUCGCUUUCCAAGUAAUGGAUCCCUUGCACCGUGUGCCCAAGAGGAAACGUCAAACAUGUGUACUUCUCGGCCAUUUGGUAGCCCCGUCUUGUCAAACACUCUUGGCAUUUCUAGUUGCGCAUCUCUAUUCCGGAUGUGUGAACUUCAAUCUUCAGUUUUCUCGUCAAGUGUUACAUAUCGGAUUCUUGUGUUAUGUCAGAUUCUUUUCAUAAUCGUGCAAGCAGUAAAGUGAAAUGGAAGAUUUACUGAAAAUAGUUGGGCUCCGUCCACAAAUUGGGAGGAGAUAUUCUGUUUGCUUAAAAAUUAUGCUCGUCUGCAAACUAAAAUAAAAAUCCUCUACUCAAAUACGUGUAUUCCAUCUUUCUUUCCCUGUUGCCAAAUUUUUACAUUUUUUUGAGCGAAUUUUACAUCUUAUUUAAAAACUGACUUGAAUGAGUUCGGGCUGGACCGCUGGAGUUGACGUGUUGCAAGCAUCGCAACUCGCAAAGUCACAGACAGGGAGGCCCAAUAAAAGCAAACCACACGGAGGCCGCCCGAGUUUCGCAACGGACACCCAGCCCGGUCGCGUCCCCGCUCCUACCCUCCCCUGCUCCACGGAAGUCAGGGCAGGGUCCAAACCCUCAAACCCCGCGCCGCGCCGCCGCCCACAUGGCCUCCUCCUCCUCCCGCUCCCCCGCCGCCUCUCGCCGGGGCGGCCGCGCGGCGCGGCAGUCCCCGUUCUUCCGCGACCUGGCCUCCCCAAUCCCGUCGCACCGCGGCGCCGCCUCCCGCUUCGCCUCGGCCAACGCCGCAGCGAACGCCACCCCCUCCGCCACGCCGCCGCCCCCGCCCCUCUUCACGCUCGACGACCGCUUCGCCGCCGCCGACUUCUCCCCCGACCCCACCGCCUCCGACCUCCUCCCCGUCGCCAACUCCCCCUCCCCACGCGCCGCCGCUGGCAGCCGCUCGCCGUCAUGGGACCACUCCCGCGGCAGGGUCUCCGCCCCCGGGUCCCCCAUGGAUGGGGUCGUGGAGCCGGCCCGGAAGGACCUGCUCGCGCUGCCCCCGCCGUCGAGUCCUUGUACUCCUCCUCAUCCUCCUCCCACCGCGGAGGCACAGUCGCCGGUCACCCCGGCGACGAUGACGGCUAGGACGGAGCCGGCGGCGAGCGAAGGGAAAGUAGAUGCUGAGGAGUGGGUCACUGUAUUCGGGUGAGCAAAUGAUGCGCAGUUCCUUACUUAGUCUGUAGUGGUUUUGCUGCUGUACAGGCGUGUAUAUACAUGGUCGAUUCAGCUCCGGAGAUCAUAGCUUAAUGCUUGUAGACUGUGCCGGAUAAGUUAGAAAUCAUAGCUUUUCUUGAACAAUUGUUUGUUAAAGCCAAAUUUUGGGUCCUUGUAUGAUAAAUUUGGUUUCUUGGUGUUUGCUGUUUCCCCUCGUGCAGAUUCUCCCUUAGAGAUACCAACCUUGUCCUUCGGGAGUUUGAGAAAUGUGGUGUAAUAUUGAGACAUCACUCUGGUCCACGAGACGGUAAUUGGAUCCACAUAUUAUACCAGGUAAUGAUAUCCUCAGUUUCUGACACUGCCAUUUUUUGCUUACCUUCGGCUUUCCUGUAUUUAUGUUUUCCAAUCAGUCAUACUGACUUACUGAGUAGUAUUACGUAAGGUUGCUUUGUCGCUUAGUGGCGGCUUAAUUGGUAGUUGCCAGUGAAUUGUGAUGCUACAUAAACUUAUUUAAGCCCCUUUAUAAUUUGAACCCUGUGCAUUCAUGGUUUUAAGCCGAGAUUUCAUGGCCGUUCACAAUCUUUUGAUUCGAAACAUAACGGUUUUCCAGUUCAAUUCAUGUGAUGAAUGACCAUACAUGGUUCUACUCAAAUUAUGCUUGGUAUAAUUCUGAUUACACUACAUGGUUUUACUCAAAUGAUAUUAUUUCUUUCACUCUUUGUUAAAUUCUGUAAGAUGGAUGGUGCCUAAGGUUGCAUUUUCUUAAAAGAGUUUCAGUUAAUGGCAUGCUAUUAUUUUACUAUGCACACCGAGUUAUGUCCUCAUAUGUGUAAAUACUACAGUAUACGGUUCAGUUGUCUUUUCAACAUGAUUAUACAGUUAUGCUAGUCCUUAAUAUAAUAUCCUGUUCACUUUUUAGCAUCACAUGGUCCAGUAUAACACCAUAGGAAAUGUUCUUCUACUCUGUACCUUUUUUUAAAUAUCUCCAUAUUCUAGCAUAAUCUAUCUCUAAGCCUUUAGUCAUAAUGAAAUUUCUAAAAAGGUUCCUCUAACGUGUAAUUGCUAUGGGAUUUGUUUACGGUGCCCUUGUGAUGCCUGAAACUUUUGUGAGCAUGCAUGACCUCUUGGCUGUAAGACAUUACAAAGCAAAAAUUUUGUAUUAUAAUGACCGAGGGGAAGCUUUCUGAUUAAAUUACCAACUACCAUUGUCUUUCUCAUAAAGUUAUUAGGCUUUAUCUGAAGAACUCUUGAGCAAACCUUUUGGUAUUGACUAGUUAUUGUUGGCACUGGUACUGUGGUAGUUUUGUUUCAUAUAAUCAGAUUAAGAGCCUGUGUAGUCACAAUCGCUUCCACCUUUAUGGAUCUUUUUCUAAUUCGUUCAUACAGUUGCAGAAAAAUCCAUUUUGCUGCUUUCGUUGAUUUUUUUCUGCAGUUAAAUUCCCACACCCUUGCUGUUAUCACCGUUCUGCAAUUUACAGCCUUUCUCAGACAAACCAUUGUUAGAGUUCUGCUAUGUGCAUGCAGCAUGUGACCUUUUUCUACAUUGUUGGUGUGGCAAUUCAUUUUGUUGUUGUUGCCAAACAGCUAUUCAUUCAUUUGGUCUUAUUAGUUCUUAAGCUGACAGUUAUCUUUAUUGUACUUGGUCUUGAAGCAUUCUUACGAUGCCCAGAAAGCCCUUCAAAAGAACGGUAUCCAACUAACCAGUGGUGUCAUAAUUGGAGUUAAGCAUAUUGAUCCAAUGCACCGGCAGCAGCUGGAUGAUAGGCUCACUGGUAUCAAUCAAGGAGGCUUCAUGAUUUCCUUGCCUUCAAAAUCACUUGUCCUGAAGAGCACAGGUGUAUCAGACCAGUUAGGUGCCUUGCCACGUCCAUAUGAUCCGAAGUCUAACGCAAAUGUUAUCAGAGAUGCAGGACGUCGCGCAACAGGUAGCGUUGCCGCACCAGCAAAAUCAAUUGUAACAAAUGUGAUGGAUAUGAUAUUUGGUAUCUAGUUUGCCAGCUUGGGAGACCUUAUUAUGAUAUUAUAUACAUUCAGCCUGUGGCGUUUCCUCUGUCAGUGUCUCUGCUAGUGAGCGAGAAUGUCAUAGUGCGAGAGGUCCGGGAGCACGUUUGGGAGAACUGGAAGAGUGGGCUUCUUUUUUCUGUUGAUGUAACAUUUAUAAUGUGCCAUUUUUCACGUUUAUAUUAUGAUCUGCUAAGAUGUGAGCGGUUGUUCUUGUAUGCCGGUGAAUGCUAACAAGAGCUGUACUGCUGUACUACAGCUCCAACAUUAAGAGAAGAUUUCAACAUGUAUUUAUUGUGAUCGCUGCAAUAUACAGAUGGUUUGUUGCCCUCUGAAGCCAAGGGGCAAGGGCUAUGAUUUGUUUUGUUUUUUUUUUGUGCGUGGGAAAGGUUUUGCUCUUUAGCAACAGUAACAAAUUUAUGAUAAAAUCGAAUGGUGAAAAAAAAAACUUGUUUUAAACAAGGCGACUGCUGGGCUCGAAUUUUCGCAUUGGUUUUAAUGUAAUGUGGCACAUUUUGAUGAGUUUUUUUUUGGCUUAGGGAUUUCGAUUAGAUUGUUGGUUUCUUUUGCACAGCGAUAUUUUCUUGUGGCAGUGAGUUGCAGCCUUCUGAUUGGCUAGUUUCCUUGGGAAUAUGUCACCGGGCCAAUCAGAAGACAGACGGCGUCUUCAGCUCCUGGGGUCAACAGUGCAUGAACUAUUAGCCGUCGAUGAAAAAGACACCAACGGCUUUGAUUACCACUUUAUAUAUUUUUAGUAGUACGAAAAGUAAAGCUCCCUCGAAUUUACCUAUUAGACCUUAUCCUUUUCGUGGUAGCACAUUUGAUUUUUGUGACUGAAAACUAGAGAUGUUGGUUGGAAAGAGAGAAGAGAUUUUCCUGAGAAAUUAUCAUAAACAUGGUUUCUAAAAUGUGUUACUCCGUACUAUUAGAAAUACAGUUCCUGACUGGUAAAAAAUAAUCGAAUGAUAAGAAAAUACUCACACAAAGCAUUUUAAGUAGGAUAACACUCGAAAUACUACUAUCCUCAGGGUGUCAUUCACAAAAAUUGCAAUAAAUCCCGACACUGGACUCGACUGGGUUUCGCGAUCGCGAGGUCUUCGUCUCCGCCUGGGAACGCUACUGGGAUUUCUCCGUCCCACCCCCUUCCCUCCACUCACAGCCGAGAUUCGGCAGCAAUGGCGGAGCCCGAGCCAACCACGGCGGCGGCCGCUCCCGCUCCCGGCCGCCUCCGCAACGCCUUCGGCGGGGUGCUGUGCGCCUUCACCCUCCUCCUCAUCGGUGUCCUCGCGUUCUCGAUCCGCCUCUUCUCCGUAAGAUCUGAUCCACCCCCAACUCCUUCAGAUCCAGUUCGAAUAGCGUCCUCGGAAUUGUGUGUGGCUUAGGCGUUUCCUCGUUUUGGCGCCGCAGGUGAUCAAGUACGAGAGCGUGAUCCACGAGUUCGACCCCUACUUCAACUUCCGCGUCACUCAGGUUGGAUUGCUUGGUUCCAUUUUUUUUUUGUUGGUUUUGUUCUGGAUCAGGUGGAAUUUUGUUCAACUCAUAGGGGAUUGCAAUGUUAUGCUGUGCCUUGUGACUCUUGAGUGUUGGCGUCGCAGGGUUCUGGGUUUUGGAAAUUGACUGUCGUCUGGUAGAUUUCGUUUUCAGUUGCAUGAUUGGUUGAAGUUUAGAGCAAGCAGAUACUUACCAUAGGAACAUGAGUCUGGCUUGAUGCAGUUAUGCGUGGUAUUUGUUCUAAAGUUUCCCCAUCUGUGCAGUUUUUGUCGAAGAAUGGAAUUUAUGAGUUCUGGAACUGGUUUGAUGAUAGGACAUGGUAAGAGUCACACAUACAGCUGAAUCACUUAAUACUGUGCAACUUCUUUGUUGUGGAAUGUGUAAGACAAAUGCAUGGCUGAUUUCCUUUCUGUUGCUUCUGCUUUAGGUAUCCCCUUGGUCGUGUGAUUGGUGGCACUGUGUAUCCUGGGUUGACAUUGACAGCUGGAAGCAUUUGGUGGUAUGUUACCAACUUACCAUAGGAACACUCUCACUCUCCUCCCAAUUGCUCAAAAUGUGGCUGAAAUAUUUUAUUGUUCUACUAGGUUGGUAAACGCUCUUAACAUCCCAUUGUCGGUGGAGACUGUUUGUGUGUUCACCGCUCCAAUUUUCUCAGCAAAUGCUUCCUGGGCUACUUACCUCUUGACAAAGGUUGCUUUUCCACAGAAGCAUGCGCUCUCAGCCUCUCACACUAGUUACUCGUCUGGAAAUUCUGUGCUUAUUGAUGUAUCCUUUUUCUAUAGGAAGCAAAGGGCACUGGAGCUGGAUUGAUGGCAGCUGCCAUUCUGGCAAUGGUAUAUUACAGUAGCAACCUUCUCCUCACACUUUUGGCCAGAAAAAUUUCAGCUACAGGAUUUGUGUUCUUGAUUAAUAGAUAUUUUCAGUUUAGUAUGUCACGUCGAAACUGAAAGUAUGAAUUCCUUAUUUCCUUUGGAUGAGGCUAGAGAUGUUGUUUGGUAAUUUCAGCUUUACCUACAUUUGGGUGGUGGACAUAGAAGUGUGGAUUGUGGAACAAUUUUUCAUACCAUUUCUGGUUUGAUUUUGGUAUGCCAAGCUAAUAUUUCUAAAAUCGUCGAGACUGCUAAAUGAAUGAAAUUGUGUUAGCUUACACACAAAAAUGCUGAUACAAUUAGGUGGUAACUGCCCCAAUUGAGAAGUACUCUGGUGAGGUCCUGCAACAUAUUUAUACAGAUUCUGAAAUCCAAAUGUGGCGCACGUUUAAACAAAAGCAAGAUGUUCAACUUAUUGCUAUUUCUAAGAAUGCUGCAUUACCUAUAUGUGUGAUCUUGCUUUCUCUAACCAUAUUGUAUCAUCAUUCAUUAAUCAGAACCAGAAUGUUGUCGUCUCUUGACAUUGUUACAGGUCCCUUCGUAUAUCUCAAGAUCAGUUGCAGGUAGUUAUGAUAAUGAAGCUGUAGCAAUAUUUGCCUUGGUAUUCACGUUUUAUCUUUAUUUAAAGGUAAUGGUGCAUGGGAUGCCUCUUCAUUUGACUUCUUUUUACCAUAGCGUUAUGGCUGACUUGUUUUCAAAUGAUGUAAAGACACUGAAUACAGGAUCCCUCUUUUAUGCAACACUCAAUGCUCUAUCAUAUUUCUACAUGGUAAGCAUGUUGAUUUUAACCUAUAUUUUCAAAUGAAUAUUAUAAUCAUCUACCUGCUGUUUCCAGGUCUGUUCUUGGGGAGGCUACACGUUCAUCAUAAACCUUAUUCCAAUGCAUGUGCUCUUGUGCAUUGUAACUGGUCGUUAUUCUUCACGACUUUACAUUGCAUAUGCACCCCUUGUAAGUACAUAAUCUUACGCUCUUGUUUCUUGAAUUUGAACACAAAAAAAGGGAGUGAUGCUAACUGGAUAUGUCAGUUGUACUUACUAUUUUUCUGGAAAGGAUCUCAUCAAUUAAUUAUUCUGCAGGUUAUAUUGGGUACACUUCUGGCGGCCUUGGUACCUGUGGUUGGUUUUAAUGCAGUAUUGACAUCUGAGCACUUUGCAUCAUUCCUGGUACCUACAUUCACGUUAUUAUGCAUGUGUUCCCACCUUCUGGGGUUUUUAAUUCAGCAAAAUAAUAUUGAAUGAAUUGACACAUGCAAUUCUCAUGUUUCUUGAAACUUGUAUUUCAAAAUUGGAGUUCUCUUGAGUUGUUGAAUUUUAAAAAUGCUGCAAAAAUAGACUUCAACAUAGCGUCACAAAAUGUGAUCACCGGAAUUUUCCUUUUGGACCAAAUGAAAACACUUAAUUCACUUCUUUCCCGGUUCAUCUAUAAUACGUGCACAAUAGUAGACUAGAUCAAGUUAGUUGACUUAAUUCUACUUCUUGUUUGCGAAAUUGAAAACUGAGAACAUGAAAAGAGAAAUCAACAGUAUUGCAGCAAUUAAAACCCGAACCAUUCGAGGCACAACUUGAGAGCCUUUAUUUAAGAGGUUGGCAGCAUUACCUCAUCUCCAAAAGAUAUGACUGCCAGUGAUAAUCACCAGCAUAUGAUCAGAAGUACCGUGACAUCUACCAGAAGUCACCUACUACGAUCUGCUUUUAAUGCAAAUUGGUGGCGGAUAGCAAGCAUGGAGAUUCCUGGAAGUUUACCACCAUUUUGCCUCUUCCUUCUGUUUGGUCGUAGUUGAAAUCAUCCCUUGGAUUCGCCUCGAUCUCAGUAUAGUGAUACACCUGUUGCCAUCUUGAGGGCGGACACGAUAAUCUCCAUUUUCUUGCACGUCUGUGUUUGAUAAUAUUUGUACAACUGCAUUGGGCAGGCGGACUAAGUUAUGCUAUCGAUAAAAGUGUAACAACCCCAUUAAAGAAGAAAUCUAUAACCACUCAAGUCCCUCUUGUAACUUCACUAAAUUGAUAGUGGUGCGGAAAAUGCAAUAACUACUCUUUAUUUUAUUGAUAACGGAGUACUUGAAUUGCAGGUGUUUAUAAUCCUUCAUGUGGUUGCUUUUGUGUAUUAUAUCAAAGGACUUUUGACUCCCAGACUGUUCAAAGUGGCUAUGACCCUUGUUAUAACUGUUGGCUUGUAAGUCUCUGGCCUUAUCUCUCAUCUAGAAUGUGCUAGGCACUAAAAUUCUAGCUAAGUUCAGACCUUGAAACUAGCAAGCAUCAACUCCUCAAAUCUAAACAUUACUUUUUGUUGAAUUGGUAGCUCCUUAUUGACUAUAUGUUAAUAGAGAGAUUCUUUGUGCAGGGCUGUUUGUUUUGCAGUAGUAGCUGUACUCGUUGCGUUGGUGGCAUCUAGCCCAACAAAAGGCUGGAGUGGGCGCAGUUUGAGUCUACUUGACCCGUAAGUUCUGUGGAUCUUAUCAAAUAAAAACUCAGAUAUUCUGCGAAUAAUAGAGUUAGGCAACUGUGCUGGAAAUGAUAACAUAACUAGCUAUGCCUAUGUCUUUAGGUUUUGAAGUUGCUUACAUAAUUGUACUUUUGACACUCUAUCUUUUGGACAAAGGAAAACAGUUUCAUCAAUUAGUACAUAGUUAGGUCCUUUUUAUUCUUAGUUUCUUCUCUAUACAGAGUCAUAUUAGAGUGUUCUUGCUCUUUUUUUCUUCCUGUGUCAAUAGCUGCAACUUUAUUCUUGCUUUUCUGACAGAACCUAUGCAAGCAAGUACAUCCCAAUCAUUGCCAGUGUCAGCGAACAUCAACCCCCAACCUGGCCCUCUUAUUUUAUGGAUAUCAAUGUGCUGGCCUUCUUGGUUCCUGCCGGGAUAAUUGUAAGCAAUAUACCUUUUGAAUUCGAAGUGAAUUAGAAUCAGACCAAGCCCUAAUUAGUCACUUCUUGACAUGAUCUGCAGUCAUGCUUCUUGCCAUUAUCCGAUGCAAGCUCCUUCAUGGUCUUGUACUUGGUCACUGCAGUCUAUUUUUCUGGAGUAAUGGUAAGAAUAUGUGGAAUAGAAUUCAUGUAUAGUCCUACGUUUAUUAAAUAUUUAUUUGAUAACUUCCAGUUAUGUUCAUUGUCUAUCAGGUACGGCUUAUGCUUGUCCUCGCUCCUGCUGCAUGCAUUCUAUCUGGGAUUGCUCUGUCUUCAGCUUUCGAUGUCCUCACACGAUCUAUGAAAUUUCAGCUAUCAAAAGUAUUUAAUGAUGGCUCUGCUGUUGUACGGUUGCUUCUUCCUCUUCUUUUUUGUUCUGUCUGAAUUGAAGUACCUAAUAUCUCAUUGAACAACUUAUUGACAACUCGUUUCUUCUGAAACUAAGUCAGGGGAUAGUAUUGCAGAGGGUUCUACUGCUAGUAAUGACACUAAAGGUUCUAGCACUAGCACGGUCAAUACAAAUUCCGCGAAAAUUGAAAACAGGACUGAAAAAUCUGAAAAACCAUCAAAGAAGAACCGGAAGAAGGACAGAGAAGUGACAGGAAGUGUUCCUGUAAAGCCUAAAAAGGAAAAGAGACUUUCAGUACUGCCUCUGGAAGCGUCUGUUGUGGGUACUUUGUUACUGAUUGUGUUAGGUGGUUUCUAUGUGGUAAGUUCACUCCCUUAGUAUUACCAGAAAGAACGUCUCUUUAUAGAACGAGAGGCACCUUAACAAUGCCACUUUUGCAGGUCCAUUGUGUUUGGGCUGCAGCUGAAGCAUACUCUGCACCUUCAAUUGUGUUGACAUCUCGUUCACGUGAAGGACUGCAUGUAUUUGAUGAUUUCCGUGAAGCUUAUGCAUGGCUGAGCCAUAACACAGAUGUAGAUGACAAGGUAUGCUCGCGCACCCCUGUCUUCUACUCCUUUUAUUAUGCGAACUGUCUGUUCUUACAGUAAGAUGUUCUGCUGCAGGUUGCAUCCUGGUGGGACUAUGGUUAUCAAACAACUGCUAUGGCUAACAGGACUGUGAUUGUAGACAACAAUACCUGGAAUAACACCCACAUAGCAACAGUUGGUACAGCGAUGUCAUCUCCAGAAAAAGCAGCAUGGGAGAUCUUUGAUUCUUUAGAUGUCAAAUAUGUGCUUGUUGUGUUUGGAGGUUGGUGCUUUAUGGACUUAUGGCAUGACUGGUACCAGCCAUCACAUCACAGUUCACAGAUAUAUGACACUGGGUGUUUAUUUUACAGGGCUUGUUGGCUACCCUAGUGAUGAUAUUAAUAAGUUCCUUUGGAUGGUUCGCAUAGGAGGUGGUGAAUUCCCUCACAUCAAAGAACCAGAUUAUCUUGUGAGUGUGAAUUCCUUUCUUCAAUGGUGCCCUGCGUAGUGAAAUAUCGACCUUGUAUAUUGCAUGCCAUUUCUGAUUUCUUGUGUUAUGUUAUUGCCAGAGAGAUGGUCAAUACCGUGUUGAUUCUCAAGCAACUCCAACUAUGUUGAAUUGCCUCAUGUACAAGCUUUGCUAUUACAGGUUUGGUGCACAGAAUUCAAUAGGACAAGUUCAGUCAGCAUCACUACGCAUGUUCUUUUGACAUUUGUUUUCCCUUUGUUCCCUUCAGGUUUGUUGAGACUGAUGGCAAAGGCUUUGAUAGAGUAAGAGGAUAUGAGAUAGGAAAGAAGCAUUUUAAGCUAACACAUUUUGAAGAGGUAUUGUGAUCCUAUUCUUCUUCCCAUUAACUAAAGUUGAUUUUGACCCCCUUUUUUUACUCUGUCCUCUGCUUGGUAUUUACCUAUCGCCGUUGUGAAUAAAGGUUUUCACUACGCACCAUUGGAUGGUCCGUAUUUAUAAACUGAAACCUCAAAAGAACAGGAUUCGAGGCAAGUUGAAGAAGUUGAAAUCUGUAAGUUUGUCAACCUACUAAUAUUCAUACUUGCACUUUCUUAGCCUAUCCUCAACAAACCUUACGAUUGAUUCUUACCUGCAGAGUUCCAAAACUAGUUCCACGCUUGCAGCAGGCCGAAAGAAGAACCCGUGGCAAUAAAGAGAAACCCCAUGUUUCGUUUACAUGAAACCCGAUAUUGUAGCUCAAGUGCGCUAAGCUCAAAGGACUAGAACACUACAGAACUAGAUUAGAGAGAUCUGCAUUGUUGUGCUCGGAACUUGACACCCCCUGAUAUGUUUUCUUGGAACCAGCCAGAGUGCUGAAGACAAUUUUUGAUAUGGACAAGAAACGUUUCUUGUCUCCCCUUCUGGGACACAACAGGCCGUGUCAACUUUCGCUUGUCAAUACUGGAACAUGCCCGUUGUGAUUUAAUUAGUUUGUUUUAUGCAUUGAAUUGCUGUGGUUUUGGGGACCCAGAAACGGUUGCUUCUCGUUAAGUUUUAGUUUAACCUUUCUCGUCCGGAGUCCGGACCUGCGCAAAGUUUAGUAUGUAGCGCUCGACGGCUAGCGCUUAUCCGGGAGAGAGCACUUCUACUGCAGUUGAGAGCGUUGGCAGCAGCUUGCAUCAGACUGCAGCGCGGAGGAGACUUGCUGAGUGCAUGGUGGCUCUUGCCAAUACGGGCGGCGUACGUGCCUCAAUGUCCUCAAUGAGCGCAACAUCUCGGAGGAGAUCCUGAAGCCGUCAGAGCACCCGCAAUACCAAGCGUCCAGCUGCGGGACCUUUUGUUCCGUCUAUGAUCAAAUACCAAUCGCCAUCGAUCGUAGUGGAGGCAGCGAGCAUCGCCUCAAUCUUUUGUUCCGUCUUGUCCGGGAGCCUCGUCCAGCCUCUGUCGUACUGAAAAAUCGGACGCAAACCAAAAUCGUUACGUCUAGCAAUGCUCGCCGUAUGUACACUUGAGUAGUUCCGUUCUGCCAACUGCCAAGUGCUGACCACUCGAUCCUGCUCCCGCUGUCCAUUCCAGUGGUUGGCACUAGUGUCUUCUCCCAUGGCCACGAAGCUCCAACGGCUGCCGUAGGCCUUUUUCGGGCUCACGGCGAAGCCUUUGCCGUGCCGUAGGCUUUGAGACGUGUCUCCUGAAAUCGUACGUGGAAGGGACCUCUGUCGUACUGAAAUCGUACUUUCAGCAAUGCUCGCCGGAUUGUAUAUAUACACGUAGAAGUUCCAUUCUGCCAAGUGCCAACCACUCGAUCCUGCUCCCUCUAUCCAUUCCAGUGGCUCGUUGCCACCUUUCGCGUUUCGCCCAUGGCCACGAAGCUCCAAUGGCUGCCCGCGCUCCUGCUCCUCCUCCUCUUCCCCAUCUUCCUCGUCGGCGGCCUCAAAACCCCCAAAGAAGCCGCCUCCGGCGCCCACAACCCUGUCGUGCUGUUGCCGGGGAACACCUGCAGCCAGAUCGAGGCCCGCCUCACCGACGCCUACGACCCGCCGUCCCCGCGCUGCGCCGCGGCCGGCAACGACAACGCCCGUUGGUCCCGCCUAUGGAAGAACACCACUGCCCCGGAGCCCGACGCCCCGUGCUUCGCCGACCAGCUCCGCCUCGUCUACGACCACGCCGCCGACGACUACCGCAACCCCCCGGGCGUCCUCACCCGCGCUCUCUCCUUCGGCUCCACCCGCGGCUUCCUCUCCGACACCCCCGCCGACAAGUACAUGAACAAUCAAUCCAAUUAACCUCUAAAUGGAGUGCCUGAUUUUAAUCUUUGGUAAGUUUGUUUAUUAGGGAACUGUGCAUGGGGAGGCUAGUGGAGGCGCUGGAGCGAGCAGGGUACGUCGACGGCGAGACACUCUUCGGCGCGCCGUACGACUUCCGCCACGCGGCGGCACCGCCGGGGAAACCCAACAGGGAGUUCUCCAGGUUCCGACGCAGGCUAAGGACGCUAGUAGAGCACGCGAGCAGGAAGAACGGAGACAAGCCGGUCGUCCUCGUGUCGCACAGCCAGGGCGGCUACUUCGCGCUCGAGUUCCUCAACCGGACCCCGCAACCGUGGCGCACGCGGCUCGUGAAGGACCUGGUGCUGGCUUCCACGGGCGCCGGCGGGUUCGUGCUCUCCAUGCAGGGCCUCGCCACCUCCAACAACGCUAACAGCAGCAGAAGCACUGCUUCUUCGCCUGCCAACGUGCUGAAGCAGAGACAAGUGAGCACGAGCUUCGCGAGCGUGUUCACGGCGCUGCCAUCGCCCACGGUGUUCGGCCCCGACACGCCGCUGGUGGUGACUCCAUCAAAGAGCUACGCGGCGCGGGACAUGGCGGAGUUCCUCGCGGCCGUGGCCGGGUUCACGCCGGAGGCCGUGCGGCGCUACGAGACCCGGGCGCUCCCCGUGGCGCUGCGCUUCGGGGCGCCCCUGGUGCCCGUGACCUGCAUCAAUGGCGUCGGCGUGCCGACGGUGGAGAAGCUCGUGUAUGGCCGGGGUGAUGGCACGGGACCGGAAGUGGAGUACGGCGAUGGUGACGGGGUCGUCAACUUGGCGAGCAUUCUGGCGCUUGACGACGUGAUCGGUGGGGAUCCCAGGCAGGAGGAGUACAAGUCUGUCAAGAUCGCUAAUAUGUCUCACCUCGGCGUUGUCUCGGAUGCUCUCGCCCUCGAGGUUUUGGUCGGUGAAAUUCUCGGACAACCCCGCGCCGUGCUUAUGUCGCGGGUGAUGUAGCUGGCAUUUUACCAGGCCGGUCCCGGCGUUUCUGUCCACUUAAUAUCAAAUGCGCCAAAAAAUUAUUAUCAGAAUCAGUAUUAGUACCGAUGUCUAGGUCAGUGUUAUUUUAUAUUGCUUACAAUCACGUAUCACACCUCUAUCAGCUCAUGCCCUCUGUGCGAAUCCCAGGAUCUAGCAGUUCAUUGACAGAGUGAGGUGAACAAGGGGAGCUGAAUGCAAAGUGAAGCUCCGCGUAUGAGAGGCCAGAGUAAAUACUGAGAAUUUUUUUUUGCAGCAUCACCAGCUUUCAUUUUGGACAUUUCAAAUUGAUGAUGCUCGAAGUAAGCAGGCUUCAUAUGCAACCCCACCAGUGCUGGUCUGAAGUCCUACAUGGAAGCAAAUUUGUAAACACGUCCACCCCACACGCGUGGUGCAACCAGAGGGUCGUUGGGCAGCGUCUCGAGAGUUGAGACUGUAGGUUCAGAACUGGCACUUUCACUUCUGGUCUGUGUAGACAGCAUCGACAUCAUCGAGUUCAAGCAGCUUAGAUACAAGGUCCUUGUUUAGUUCCAUGGCCUCGUCAUCUACCUGCGCACGUGGCAACGGGUCAGAUAUAAUUUUUUCCCACAUAUACAAAUUCCAGAAAUUAUUUGAGUGAUCGAAUACACCACAAUCUAAUCUCACUAUGUGGACAGCAUGAUGUCACGAUCUAUGAGUUGCUUUCCCAUGAUUAUUCAACCAUCUAAGACGUAAAUUGGCCAUGUCUCACGCAAGAUAUGCACUACUGGAAGUCUGGAACUUGACUGGAAGAUAUGUUGAACCUGAAGUGUCCGGUCAGGAUUUUAUCAGAUCCUGACAGAUUGGAAUAGCUCAAGAAGAUGCACUUAUCUUGUUUCCUACUUAGUCUCUGAGUUUAGUUGAACAUUCAAUUAUGGCCAACUGCAUCAUUUGGAAGUUCAUAGUAGCAACCUAAAGAUUUGGGGUAUGCACUACAGUAGAUCAGAAAAUAAACUACCAGACUAGAGACCUAACAGUAUCUUGAAAAUAUACCCAAAGAUUUGGCAGAGACAUGUGGUAAAAAUAGCAUUUAUCCAAUUAGUUUCAACUCCUAUAUAGUACUAUGGUAAAAGGAAAACCACAUACCUCAAUCGGGUUGAGAGGCAGCAGUUCAUAGCCAUUAUCCGUUUCAAAUUUUAUUCCUUCCUCUUGUAGCUUCGAUAGCACAACAGGAUAGUUUUCUGAUGUAGUAACUAUCUUGUAAAACCUGACAUGAGACAGAAAUUGUAAGAGUAGAAUAAUAAUAUAUGCGAAUCACGAUUUCUCUGAAGGAAUAUUCAUGGCUAAAUGUAGCAAAAUAAUCCCUCCGGUUCCAUAAUAACUGCCAUUUUAAAUACAGGUAAGGUCAAACUUUGACUACCAAUAUUUUCAAACAUAUAUAGAUUUUUUUUUAAACAAAAACAUACUUCCUCCUUUUCACAAAGUACUUUCACAAUAUGCCAACCUAAAAGGAGGGGGUAUAUAGAUUAGAUACUUGAACUUCACUCUUCAAAAGUACUUUCACAAUAGGCAGUUUUGCUUGGUUUGCAAGUGUCUUAAAAUCAAAAUUAGUGGUAAAAGUUGUGUUUGCUGGCCGUGUCGACGUCUAAAAUGACAGCUUUUACAGAACAGAGGGAGUAGAGAGUAAAGUAACAGGAUAUCACAUGCACGUUCACAACUAUCUGGAGAACCACCUGAACCAUGCUCUGAGAAGUUCGUCACGCUGAGGACAUGGAGCAGUGAUUUCACUUGCUUAAACAGAACUUCUCUAUAUGCAGUGCUUUUUGAAGGAUACAACAGCAGAGAACACCUAACAAGUGUCAAUUCACUACUUGUAAGAUCUAAGAUACUACCUAAUGCACAUGCGUUCCUACAAAAUUAUUAAUAUUAUUUUGCAUAAGUUGCUUAAACGCAUUUUUGCACUUAUGUUCCCAAAUUUUCUGCUGAAUAACAAUUAUCCAAAAUAUACACCAAUCCAAUCAGUUGUAGUCGGGAUAUGUAUAUCUACCAUAUUAAAUGGGUGCAAUUACAUUCAUUCACUAGUAAUACAAGGAAUGGUAUCAAUGGAGUGAAAGAUGACCACCAACUCAGAUAGAUGAGGAUUUAAUUGGACAGCGCAGAACUCAAGAUUUUCAGAUAGUAUGAUACCUUUCUGUAACUUCUUCAGAGUCAUCAUCAUAAUCAAAAUUUGGUUCAAUUACAUCAUCAGCACCAGCAUCCAAAGCAACAGAGAGUAGUUCGUCCUUAUCAGCAUCUGUAACUUUUAUGUUCACUACGCGAACUUGUCUGAAUCUAAACGUAACGGACCCAGGAUCAGCCAAUUUCGCUGCACAGUCCUUUACCACAUUUCUAAUAUCCGCAAUAGAUCUUGUAAUUUUGUCUGUAAGGACCUCAACGACCAUACCUACUCCACCAAAACCAUAGACCUGUUCAAAUGCUUCACGCACUUAAAACUUUUACAAGAGAAAAAGCAGUGACCCACAAACUUGUUAAUUCCUUGAACAAAAUUCUACCAUAUAGCUGCAUGGGAAAAUUUAUUUUAUACAUGUACAAAUAGUAUUGCCCUUAGAUAUGUUAUAUCAUACUGCCCAGAUGAGAAUCUAUCGACAAAUUAUCAUGCCAAAUGACAGAGAAGUGGUACCUCAUAAACCUUUUCCGUGUAAGUAUCCUGGCCCUUUUCUGAAGCUCUUUUCAUGUUACGCUCCACAACUUCCUUGGGAACAUCAAGCUCCCUUACUUUCUCCAGUAUUGCUGCUAAGGCUGUGUUGGAUGAAGGAUUAGGGCCGCCUUUAUUGAUGCUGCAUGAUAUGAUAUCCAUAUUUAACUGUAUAAGGAGCCAGAUUAGUUUUAAAAAAAGAGGCCACAUGUACUCUGAAUCUCUGAUGCUUAGGGCCAAAAUAAUAUGAAAACUCAUUUUUAAGGAGAAUAUUGAUGCUCCGUCUUAUAGGUACAGUGGAGGUAUUACCAGCUGCAGCACACACUAGUAAUACAUUUAGCAAUACAUCUACAAGUAAAACAAUGUUAUCCUCCUCAAGUCCUCAAUGAGGACAUAGUAGUAGUAGACAUAUUAGCAAAAUCUAGUGUGUUGAAUUAAAUCUACACACCAGAUACUGCAAGAUACUAAAAUAUUAGGGUAUGACAAAG
This 43464-nucleotide long non-coding RNA is filed under the name Brachypodium distachyon (stiff brome). RNAcentral describes it as "long non-coding RNA (BDIS_LNC001867)". The stretch from base 4104 to 4228 matches the Rfam family "MIR1120/MIR1122 microRNA precursor family". The record is from RNAcentral. Lineage: Eukaryota; Viridiplantae; Streptophyta; Magnoliopsida; Poales; Poaceae.